AACAGCCGCGGUAAUUCCAGCUCCAAUAGCGUAUAUUAAAGUUGUUGCAGUUAAAAAGCUCGUAGUUGAAUUUCGGGAUCAGUUGGUCGGUCGUGCCUCGGUACGUACUGGUCAAAUUGAUUCCUACCUUCUGACGAACCACGAUGUCAUUAAUUUGGUGUCGCGGGAAAUCAGGACUGUUACUUUGAAAAAAUUAGAGUGUUUAAAGCAGGCUCGCGCUUGAAUACAUUAGCAUGGAAUAAUGAAAUAGGACGUUUGAUUCUAUUUUGUUGGUUUCUAGGAUCGACGUAAUGAUUAAUAGGGAUAGUUGGGGGCAUUAGUAUUCAAUUGUCAGAGGUGAAAUUCUUGGAUUUAUUGAAGACUAACUACUGCGAAAGCAUUUGCCAAGGAUGUUUUCAUUAAUCAAGAACGAAAGUUAGGGGAUCGAAGACGAUCAGAUACCGUCGUAGUCUUA
Molecule: ribosomal RNA, 454 nt
Filed under: uncultured Glomus
Lineage: Eukaryota; Fungi; Glomeromycota; Glomeromycetes; Glomerales; Glomeraceae
Description: SSU rRNA
Rfam family: Eukaryotic small subunit ribosomal RNA
Source: RNAcentral